CGACACACUAUCGUUAACUGAAUACAUAGGUUAACGAGGCGAACCGGGGGAACUGAAACAUCUAAGUACCCCGAGGAAAAGAAAUCAACCGAGAUUCCCCCAGUAGCGGCGAGCGAACGGGGAGCAGCCCGGAGUCUGAAUCAGCUUGUGUGUUAGUGGAACGGUCUGGAAAGUCCGACGGUACAGGGUGAUAGUCCCGUACACGAAAAUGCACAGGUUGUGAACUCGAAGAGUAGGGCGGGACACGUGGUAUCCUGUCUGAAUAUGGGGGGACCAUCCUCCAAGGCUAAAUACUCCUGACUGACCGAUAGUGAACCAGUACCGUGAGGGAAAGGCGAAAAGAACCCCGGCGAGGGGAGUGAAAAAGAACCUGAAACCGUGUACGUACAAGCAGUGGGAGCACCUUCGGGUGUGACUGCGUACCUUUUGUAUAAUGGGUCAGCGACUUAUAUUCUGUAGCAAGGUUAACCGUAUAGGGGAGCCGAAGGGAAACCGAGUCUUAACUGGGCGUUAAGUUGCAGGGUAUAGACCCGAAACCCGGUGAUCUAGCCAUGGGCAGGUUGAAGGUUGGGUAACACUAACUGGAGGACCGAACCGACUAAUGUUGAAAAAUUAGCGGAUGACCUGUGGCUGGGGGUGAAAGGCCAAUCAAACCGGGAGAUAGCUGGUUCUCCCCGAAAGCUAUUUAGGUAGCGCCUCGUGAACUCAUCUUCGGGGGUAGAGCACUGUUUCGGCUAGGGGGCCAUCCCGGCUUACCAACCCGAUGCAAACUACGAAUACCGAAGAAUGUUAUCACGGGAGACACACGGCGGGUGCUAACGUCCGUCGUGAAGAGGGAAACAACCCAGACCGCCAGCUAAGGUCCCAAAGUCAUGGUUAAGUGGGAAACGAUGUGGGAAGGCACAGACAGCCAGGAUGUUGGCUUAGAAGCAGCCAUCAUUUAAAGAAAGCGUAAUAGCUCACUGGUCGAGUCGGCCUGCGCGGAAGAUGUAACGGGGCUAAACCAUGCACCGAAGCUGCGGCAGCGACACUAUGUGUUGUUGGGUAGGGGAGCGUUCUGUAAGCCGUUGAAGGUGUGCUGUGAGGCAUGCUGGAGGUAUCAGAAGUGCGAAUGCUGACAUAAGUAACGAUAAAGCGGGUGAAAAGCCCGCUCGCCGGAAGACCAAGGGUUCCUGUCCAACGUUAAUCGGGGCAGGGUGAGUCGACCCCUAAGGCGAGGCCGAAAGGCGUAGUCGAUGGGAAACAGGUUAAUAUUCCUGUACUUGGUGUUACUGCGAAGGGGGGACGGAGAAGGCUAUGUCAGCCGGGCGACGGUUGUCCCGGUUUAAGCAUGUAGGCGGAGGUUCCAGGUAAAUCCGGUACCUUUUAACGCUGAGGUGUGAUGACGAGGCACUACGGUGCUGAAGUGAUAAAUGCCCUGCUUCCAGGAAAAGCCUCUAAGCAUCAGGUAACACGAAAUCGUACCCCAAACCGACACAGGUGGUCAGGUAGAGAAUACCAAGGCGCUUGAGAGAACUCGGGUGAAGGAACUAGGCAAAAUGGUGCCGUAACUUCGGGAGAAGGCACGCUGAUAUGUAGGUGAAGCCCCUGCGGGCGGAGCUGAAAUCAGUCGAAGAUACCAGCUGGCUGCAACUGUUUAUUAAAAACACAGCACUGUGCAAACACGAAAGUGGACGUAUACGGUGUGACGCCUGCCCGGUGCCGGAAGGUUAAUUGAUGGGGUUAGCGGCAACGCGAAGCUCUUGAUCGAAGCCCCGGUAAACGGCGGCCGUAACUAUAACGGUCCUAAGGUAGCGAAAUUCCUUGUCGGGUAAGUUCCGACCUGCACGAAUGGCGUAAUGAUGGCCAGGCUGUCUCCACCCGAGACUCAGUGAAAUUGAACUCGCUGUGAAGAUGCAGUGUACCCGCGGCAAGACGGAAAGACCCCGUGAACCUUUACUAUAGCUUGACACUGAACACUGGUCCUUGAUGUGUAGGAUAGGUGGGAGGCUUUGAAGCGUGGACGCCAGUCUGCGUGGAGCCGCCCUUGAAAUACCACCCUUUAAUGGCUGGUGUUCUAACGUAGACCCGUGAUCCGGGUUGCGGACAGUGUCUGGUGGGUAGUUUGACUGGGGCGGUCUCCUCCCAAAGAGUAACGGAGGAGCACGAAGGUUGGCUAAUCCUGGUCGGACAUCAGGAGGUUAGUGCAAUGGCAUAAGCCAGCUUGACUGCGAGCGUGACGGCGCGAGCAGGUGCGAAAGCAGGUCAUAGUGAUCCGGUGGUUCUGAAUGGAAGGGCCAUCGCUCAACGGAUAAAAGGUACUCCGGGGAUAACAGGCUGAUACCGCCCAAGAGUUCAUAUCGACGGCGGUGUUUGGCACCUCGAUGUCGGCUCAUCACAUCCUGGGGCUGAAGUAGGUCCCAAGGGUAUGGCUGUUCGCCAUUUAAAGUGGUACGCGAGCUGGGUUUAGAACGUCGUGAGACAGUUCGGUCCCUAUCUGCCGUGGGCGCUGGAGAAUUGAGGGGGGCUGCUCCUAGUACGAGAGGACCGGAGUGGACGCAUCACUGGUGUUCGGGUUGUCAUGCCAAUGGCACUGCCCGGUAGCUAAAUGCGGAAGAGAUAAGUGCUGAAAGCAUCUAAGCACGAAACUUGCCCCGAGAUGAGUUCUCCCUGAGAC
This 2656-nucleotide ribosomal RNA is filed under the name Enterobacter hormaechei. Its description in RNAcentral is "partial 23S ribosomal RNA". It matches the Rfam family "Bacterial large subunit ribosomal RNA". Lineage: Bacteria; Pseudomonadati; Pseudomonadota; Gammaproteobacteria; Enterobacterales; Enterobacteriaceae. The record is from RNAcentral.